Molecule: unclassified non-coding RNA, 381 nt
Filed under: uncultured Oligoflexales bacterium
Lineage: Bacteria; Pseudomonadati; Bdellovibrionota; Oligoflexia; Oligoflexales
Description: contains 16S-23S intergenic spacer region
Source: RNAcentral
UCCGAUUUAACAUCGGCAGUCUCUCUAGAGUGCCCAACUUAAUGAUGGCAACUAAAGACAAGGGUUGCGCUCGUUGCCGGACUUAACCGAACAUCUCACGACACGAGCUGACGACAGCCAUGCAGCACCUGUGUCCUCCGUCCCCGAAGGGACUCUCCAAGUUUCCAAGGAGAUUCAGAGGCAUGUCAAGGCCAGGUAAGGUUUUGCGCGUUGCUUCGAAUUAAACCACAUAAUCCACCGCUUGUGCGGGUCCCCGUCAAUUCCUUUGAGUUUUAAUCUUGCGACCGUACUCCCCAGGCGGGAUACUUAACGCGUUAGCUAAGCUACGGCCGGGGUCAAUACCAGCCACAGCGAGUAUCCAUCGUUUAGGGCGUGGACUAC